CUGAUUCUAAAGCUGCUGUCUGCAUGCCAGGCUAGUACAGCUCUCAAUCUGGGAUCAGGAAAGAGAGGUACCACAUGUGGUCAAGGAGCUCCCACAUCCCCAGGAGUCCAAGGGUUGCCAUUCUUCCUCCUUCUGUCUCUGUGAUGUCGCCACUACAAUGUUGUCAUAUUGUGAACUAUUCUGGUCUGCUGGUGGAAAUAGAUGAAAGGAGGAGAAAUCCUGUGUGUGACAGUACAAAUGCAAAAAUAAAACCAAAAACAACAAUAAGAAAGCAGAAGUGGAAGGAAAAGAAUCUUAGCUUGAGUCAACCAACUUGUUACCAGAAUUCAGUUAUUAAAAAUCUCUACAGUGGAUGUUAGCAGAGCUCAAAUCCUUAUGAACCCAAACUCCCAAAACACUGGAUCCGGUGAGAUGGCUGGAGCUCAGCAGGGUCAGCAUGAGGAACACCACGAGGACUGCUGAAACACCACAUUCCCAUGGCUGCGGCAGGACAGCGGGGUGGCUGGAAGGCACAGUGUCUGUGAAUCUGUGGUCCUCGGCAAGGGAUGUGACCGCAUGGUGGGUCGCCUGACCUAUGAGCAGAGAUGGAAGGAAGAAUGCCAAUUUGGAGGCAGAUG
Long non-coding RNA from Gorilla gorilla gorilla (western lowland gorilla), 617 nucleotides. RefSeq lists it as uncharacterized. Lineage: Eukaryota; Metazoa; Chordata; Mammalia; Primates; Hominidae. The transcript is spliced from 3 exons. The record is from RefSeq and is a predicted model, not a curated record.